This 287-nucleotide ribosomal RNA is filed under the name uncultured Glomeromycotina. Its description in RNAcentral is "partial 18S ribosomal RNA". It matches the Rfam family "Eukaryotic small subunit ribosomal RNA", at positions 569 to 860 of the family's 1831-position model. The record is from RNAcentral. Lineage: Eukaryota; Fungi; Glomeromycota.
AGCAGCCGCGGUAAUUCCAGCUCCAAUAGCGUAUAUUAAAGUUGUUGCAGUUAAAAAGCUCGUAGUUGAAUUUCGGGAUCAAUGUUUCGGUCAUGCCGUUGGUAUGUACUGAUAUUAUUGAUUUCUCACCUUCUAAAGAACCGUAAUGCCAUUAAUUUGGUGUCACGGGGAAUUAGGACUGUUACCUUGAAAAAUUAGAGUGUUUAAAGCAGGCUCACGCUUGAAUACAUUAGCAUGGAAUAAUGAAAUAGGACAUCCGAUUCUAUUUUGUUGGUUUCUAGGAUCGG